Molecule: small nuclear RNA, 100 nt
Filed under: Myotis davidii
Lineage: Eukaryota; Metazoa; Chordata; Mammalia; Chiroptera; Vespertilionidae
Source: RNAcentral
GUGCUCGCUUCGGCAGCACAUACACUAAAACUGGAACGACAGAGAUGAUUAGCAUGGCGCCUGAGAAGGGAGAGACAGAAAAGACAAUCCCAGUGUCCAU